GAUGAACGUUGGCGGCGUGCCUAAUACAUGCAAGUCGAACGAAGACUGUAGUAAUACUGUCUUAGUGGCGAACGGGUGAGUAACGCGUGGGUGACCUGCCCCGAAGUGUGGGAUAACAGUCCGAAAGGAUUGCUAAUACUGCAUAAUAUCCAAGAGAUUAGAUGCUUUUGGAUUAAAGGAGUAAUUCGCUUCGGGAGGGGCCCGCGUCCCAUCAGCUAGUUGGUAAGGUAAUGGCUUACCAAGGCGAUGACGGGUAGGGACCUGAGAGGGUGCCCCCACAAUGGAACUGAAACACGGUCCAUACACCUACGGGUGGCAGCAGUAGGGAAUAUUAGUAAUGGGCGAAAGCCUGAACUAGCAACGCCGCGUGUGCGAAGAAGGCCUUCGGGUCGUAAAGCACUUUUUGAGAGGAUGAGGAAGGACGGUACUCUCAGAAUAAGUCUCGGCUAACUACGUGCCAGCAGCCGCGGUAAAAAGUGUGUGUA
RNAcentral lists this ribosomal RNA (485 nucleotides) under uncultured bacterium. Its description in RNAcentral is "bacterial SSU rRNA". It matches the Rfam family "Bacterial small subunit ribosomal RNA", at positions 28 to 535 of the family's 1533-position model. The record is from RNAcentral.